Molecule: ribosomal RNA, 440 nt
Filed under: uncultured bacterium
Lineage: Bacteria
Description: partial 16S ribosomal RNA
Rfam family: Bacterial small subunit ribosomal RNA
Source: RNAcentral
CCUACGGGAGGCAGCAGUGGGGAAUAUUGCACAAUGGGGGAAACCCUGAUGCAGCGACGCCGCGUGAGUGAAGAAGUAUUUCGGUACGUAAAGCUCUAUCAGCAGGGAAGAAAAUGACGGUACCUGACUAAGAAGCCCCGGCUAACUACGUUCCAGCAGCCGCGGUAAUACGUAGGGGGCAAGCGUUAUCCGGAUUUACUGGGUGUAAAGGGAGCGUAGACGGCAGCGCAAGUCUGGAGUGAAAUCCCAUGGCUUAACCAUGGAACUGCUUUGGAAACUGUGCAGCUAGAGUGCAGGAGAGGUAAGCGGAAUUCCUAGUGUAGCGGUGAAAUGCGUAGAUAUUAGGAGGAACACCAGUGGCGAAGGCGGCUUACUGGACUGUAACUGACGUUGAGGCUCGAAAGCGUGGGGAGCAAACAGGAUUAGAUACCCCAGUAGUC